Molecule: long non-coding RNA, 343 nt
Filed under: Homo sapiens (human)
Lineage: Eukaryota; Metazoa; Chordata; Mammalia; Primates; Hominidae
Description: non-protein coding lnc-TARBP2-1:1
Source: RNAcentral
AAAACCAUUUUUUUUUUGGCCGGGUGCAGUGCCUCACACCUGUAACCCCAGCACUUUGGGAGACCAAGGCGGGUGGAUCACCUGAGGGCAGGAGUUCGAGACCAGCCUGGCCAACAUGGUGAAACCCUGUCUACUAAAAAUACGAAAAUUAGCUGGGCGUGGUGGUAGGCACCUGUAAUCCCAGCUACUCAGGAGGCUGAGUGGAGGUGCUAGGGUCCAGUCUCCAGGGAGUCCCAGAAGGACAGGAGCAGGCUACUGUGGGGCUGGACUAUCAUUCUGACCCCGACUCUGGUCUCCACAGCCUCUGCCUGGCCCUGGCUCUCAUAUAGAGUAGCCUAGAAUC